ACGUGCAGGCGGUUUCGUAAGUCGGACGUGAAAGCUCCUGGCCUUAACUGGGAGAGGCCGUUCGAUACUGCGGGACUUGAGGUCGGGAGAGGGACGUGAAAUUCCCGGUGUAGUGGUGGAAUGCGUAGAUAUCGGGAGGAACACCAGUGGCGAAGGCGGCGUCCUGGCCCGUACCUGACGCUAAGACGCGAAAGCGUGGGUAGCGAACG
Molecule: ribosomal RNA, 209 nt
Filed under: uncultured bacterium
Lineage: Bacteria
Description: partial 16S ribosomal RNA
Rfam family: Bacterial small subunit ribosomal RNA
Source: RNAcentral